This 490-nucleotide ribosomal RNA is filed under the name uncultured bacterium. RNAcentral's name for it is "partial 16S ribosomal RNA". It matches the Rfam family "Bacterial small subunit ribosomal RNA", at positions 30 to 507 of the family's 1533-position model. The record is from RNAcentral.
AUUGAACGCUGGCGGCAGGCUUAACACAUGCAAGUCGAGCGGUAACAGAGAGAAGCUUGCUUCUCUGCUGACGAGCGGCGGACGGGUGAGUAAUGCCUAGGAAUCUGCCUAGUAGUGGGGGAUAACUUGCCGAAAAGUAAGCUAAUACCGCAUACGUCCUACGGGAGAAAGGAGGGGACCUUCGGGCCUUUCGCUAUUAGAUGAGCCUAGGUCGGAUUAGUUAGUUGGUGAGGUAAUGGCUCACCAAGACCGCGAUCCGUAACUGGUCUGAGAGGAUGAUCAGUCACACUGGAACUGAGACACGGUCCAGACUCCUACGGGAGGCAGCAGUGGGGAAUAUUGGACAAUGGGGGGAACCCUGAUCCAGCCAUGCCGCGUGUGUGAAGAAGGUCUUAGGAUUGUAAAGCACUUUAAGUUGGGAGGAAGAGCAGUUAACUAAUAUUUGACUGUUUUGACGUUACCGACAGAAUAAGCACCGGCUAACUUCGUG